UGGGGAAUAUUGCACAAUGGGCGAAAGCCUGAUGCAGCAACGCCGCGUGAGUGAUGAAGGUCUUCGGAUUGUAAAGCUCUGUCUUUUGGGACGAUAAUGACGGUACCAAAGGAGGAAGCCACGGCUAACUACGUGCCAGCAGCCGCGGUAAUACGUAGGUGGCGAGCGUUGUCCGGAUUUACUGGGCGUAAAGGGUGCGUAGGCGGAUGUUUAAGUGAGAUGUGAAAUACCCGGGCUUAACUUGGGUGCUGCAUUUCAAACUGGAUAUCUAGAGUGCAGGAGAGGAGAAUGGAUUCCUAGUGUAGCGGUGAAAUACGUAGAGAUUAGGAAGAACACCAGUGGCGAAGGCGAUUCUCUGGACUGUAACUGACGCUGAGGCACGAAAGCGUGGGUAGCAAACAGGAUUAGAUACCCUGGUAGUCCACGCCGUAAACGAUGAGUACUAGGUGUAGGAGGUAUCGACCCCUUCUGUGCCGCAGUAAACACAUUAAGUACUCCGCCUGGGAAGUACGAUCGCAAGAUUAAAACUCUAAAGUGAAUUGAC
Molecule: ribosomal RNA, 544 nt
Filed under: uncultured bacterium
Lineage: Bacteria
Description: partial 16S ribosomal RNA
Rfam family: Bacterial small subunit ribosomal RNA
Source: RNAcentral